Non-coding RNA from Gossypium hirsutum (cotton), 73 nucleotides. The record is from Rfam. Lineage: Eukaryota; Viridiplantae; Streptophyta; Magnoliopsida; Malvales; Malvaceae.
AUCGUCUUAGCUUAGCCAGUAGAGCGCAUGGCUUUUAACCAUGUGGUUGUGGGUUUGAUUCCCAUAGAUGGCG